UUGGCAAGGGCUCAUUUGGAAGAGCAGGUGGCGUACAAGGUCGCGUCGAGGUCCAACGACCGGAGUAUCAGCUCCGUAGAGGACGCCGUCCCAGAUCGUCUUGCUUGCCUUGUCGUGAUAUCUUCUUGGCCAUGUGGGUUUGAUUGCCGCGGCAGGAUAAUUAAAGCCAAGUCUAAAGGCUCAGAAGCAGUUGAUCAUUACCUGUCACAGUAUACAAAACACAUAUCUAAUAUUGGGGAAAAUUCAGCUGAUAUGUUCAUAUGUGAAUCAUCCACCCAAUUAGCUAUAAUGCUUUCCAAGGCCAGUACCAUACCAACAUUGGAUCCAAAAGAGCAUGUGCCAAAUUGGACACAUACAUACGGUAUGAAAAUUUACGCAGAAGACAAGGACCCAUCACUCCAGAGUCUAGGAAAGUUGGGUAAAUGUAAUCUUUUUAUGGUACGU
Molecule: ribosomal RNA, 444 nt
Filed under: Triticum aestivum (bread wheat)
Lineage: Eukaryota; Viridiplantae; Streptophyta; Magnoliopsida; Poales; Poaceae
Description: partial small subunit ribosomal RNA
Source: RNAcentral